CAGGUAGCUGGGGCCAGUAAUUUUCUCCAGCCUGUGCUGCAAAAUUUACCUGAGCUCAUUUGUCAAGCUUUGAAUCCUUAAAUCCAUAACUCCAAUUAAUUAGGAAUCUCUAAUUACCCCAAAAUGGCACUCUGUAUUUAAGGCUAAGGUGUGGUGAAAUCCAGAGAAAGAAAACAUUAGAGAAGCUGGAGGAUAUUUAGAGCUGGAGAUGCUGGAAAAUGUGCAUUUUCAGAGCUCAGGGUACACAUAGGUGCAAAGGAAGCCCUGUGGCUCUACAUGUCAGUGGGACUGGAAGCAGGUCCUGAGCUGGUAGAAGCCACUGUCUGAUAUUCAGACAUCCAUCCUUGGGUGUCUCACAAGUUCCCUUUUUUCAGUAAGUAAUGACACCAAACCUCCCAGCAGGAGGUUCCUGCACCAGAGAUGUAUAACAAAGCAACCUUUAGGACUUAAGCCCAACUGUAUUUUCUGUUCCAGAAGCAGACUGGAUGAGGCUCUAGCUCUAUACAACUUUAAACCAGAAACCCCAAGGGGGAUGUUAUUGAAAACAACGGUGCAGACAGGUUCUGGCCCUGCCCUUGUAAGAGGAAAAAGCCCUUUCACAGUUGAGGUCUUAUUAUAUUAAGUUAAAAAUGUAUAGCUUUUAACUAGGUUGUAACCAGUUAAUGUGAUUCAGGAAAGGCUGUAAGGUGGAUAGAAGCUUUCCCUCUUUGCCUUGCUGCACAGGUUACUGUUUUUCCAGACCUCACAUGUGAGACCAGUUAACACAGGCUCAGCAAUUAGGCUGUGAAGUCACCUGAUUAAGUGAGGGGCAACAGCAGGUUUUGGGGCUGAUUGACUUCAGUAGGGCUGCAGCUAACAGCCUGAAACGCUACUUUCCCAGUUCUGCUGGGCUCCUUCUCUUGGACAAACCAGCACCAGCUUUUCAGCAAAGCUCUGAGUGGCAGCUCUUACUGCCUGGGAACAGACUCAUGUGGCCCAGUCAGGAGGAUGACAGCUCUGCACCACCGCAGGGAGUUCCUCUGGGGCCCAGUCCGAAGCACCGGUCUGGCAGCUGCGACGUACCAAUGCUUCCUGCUCCCACAAAUAAAACUCCCACAGAUGAAAGCUCAUCUCACGUAAAAGAACUGCUGAAAAACUGUUUCUAUGGACAUGAAAUCUGACAUGAUGAUAAUCUGAAGCUGCUCACUCCCCAAGGAUGACAAAACUCCAGAAACUUCAAAGCAAAGAAGGAAUUGCCAGAGGGGAAAUUGUGAUUAAAAUUAGAUAACCUGUAUGAAAAGCAUCCAAUUUGUAGUCUAUAAAAGCAUUUUAGAACCGCAGCUCUUCAGCCCCAGGACCAUAGCUGUAAUAAUUAUCUCAGGACUUUCACGUAUUAAUUUGUCAAUGACUCAGUUUGUAGCAGUAAGGAAAAGAUUCUAAGCAGGGAAUACAAACAUGGAAACUGCAUUUCUAUUUUUAAGUAAACACACUGUUAAAGUCAAAGCUUUGGUUCCUGUGGAAGUGCCUGGAAUGGAACUGAAGAUUAUACAGAGUGCUUCUGGUUUGAGUGUCUGUGAGAUGUCAAGAGACAAAGAGAAACCUUGAACUCAGAUGAGAAUUUCUUCUUGUUUCCACACUUCCCGGCAGAGUUUUUCAUCCACCCCCUGGUUUGCAGCAGCUCAUCCAUUGAGCUGGCGCUCC
Molecule: long non-coding RNA, 1680 nt
Filed under: Coturnix japonica (Japanese quail)
Lineage: Eukaryota; Metazoa; Chordata; Aves; Galliformes; Phasianidae
Description: lncRNA (ENSCJPG00005007241.1)
Source: RNAcentral